RNAcentral lists this ribosomal RNA (301 nucleotides) under uncultured bacterium. Its description in RNAcentral is "partial 16S ribosomal RNA". It matches the Rfam family "Bacterial small subunit ribosomal RNA", at positions 509 to 807 of the family's 1533-position model. The record is from RNAcentral.
CAGUCGCCGCGGUAAUACGAAGGGUGCAAGCGUUACUCGGAAUUACUGGGCGCAAAGCGUGCGUAGGUGGUGGUUUAAGUCCGUUGUGAAAGCCCUGGGCUCAACCUGGGAAUUGCAGUGGAUACUGGGUCACUAGAGUGUGGUAGAGGAUAGUGGAAUUUCCGGUGUAGCAGUGAAAUGCGUAGAGAUCGGAAGGAACAUCUGUGGCGAAGGCGACUAUCUGGGCCAACACUGACACUGAGGCACGAAAGCGUGGGGAGCAAACAGGAUUAGAUACCCCCGUAGUCCCUGUCUCUUAUAC